UGGUCGUUGUGUCAUUUCUGACCUUCCCUGAAAAUUUCAUCUAAAUCUGUUUGUUCUAUUUUGAGUAAUGCUGCUGACAGACAGACGGACAAACCAAAGCCAAUCGUUGCAUAAAUCCACCAUGUUCACUGACGGAGUAAAAAUAUGAAUUUUAGAGGAAAUAAAACUGGAGGUUGUGUAGUGAAACAACAGGAUUGUUCAACUGGACUUGGUUCUCGAAGACGUUCCACCUCUUGCCCAAGAUGAGAGGUGGAACGUCUUCAAGAACCAUCCAAGAUGAGAGGUGGAACGUCUUCCAGAACCAUCCAAGAUGAGAGGUGGAACGUCUUCGAGAACCAUCCAAGAUGAGAGGUGGAACGUCUUCGAGAACCAUCCAAGAUGAGAGGUGGAACGUCUUCCAGAACCAUCCAAGAUGAGAGGUGGAACGUCUUCCAGAACCAUCCAAGAUGAGAGGUGGAACGUCUUCGAGAACCAUCCAAGAUGAGAGGUGGAACGUCUUCGAGAACCAUCCAAGAUGAGAGGUGGAACGUCUUCCAGAACCAUCCAAGAUGAGAGGUGGAACGUCUUCCAGAACCAUCCAAGAUGAGAGGUGGAACGUCUUCGAGAACCAUCCAAGAUGAGAGGUGGAACGUCUUCCAGAACCAUCCAAGAUGAGAGGUGGAACGUCUUCGAGAACCAUCCAAGAUGAGAGGUGGAACGUCUUCCAGAACCAUCCAAGAUGAGAGGUGGAACGUCUUCCAGAACCAUCCAAGAUGAGAGGUGGAACGUCUUCAAGAACCAUCCAAGAUGAGAGGUGGAACGUCUUCCAGAACCAUCCAAGAUGAGAGGUGGAACGUCUUCAAGAACCAUCCAAGAUGAGAGGUGGAACGUCU
This is a long non-coding RNA of Acanthochromis polyacanthus (spiny chromis), 872 nucleotides long. RefSeq lists it as uncharacterized. NCBI's taxonomy places the organism in Eukaryota, Metazoa, Chordata, Actinopteri, Pomacentridae. The record is from RefSeq and is a predicted model, not a curated record. The transcript is spliced from 4 exons.